RNAcentral lists this ribosomal RNA (444 nucleotides) under uncultured bacterium. RNAcentral's name for it is "partial 16S ribosomal RNA". It matches the Rfam family "Bacterial small subunit ribosomal RNA", at positions 330 to 792 of the family's 1533-position model. The record is from RNAcentral.
UCCAGACUCCUACGGGAGGCAGCAGUGGGGAAUUUUGCGCAAUGGGGGAAACCCUGACGCAGCAACGCCGCGUGCGGGAUGACGGCCCUCGGGUUGUAAACCGCUUUCAGCAGGGAAGAUAUUGACGGUACCUGCAGAAGAAGCUCCGGCUAACUACGUGCCAGCAGCCGCGGUAAUACGUAGGGAGCGAGCGUUAUCCGGAUUCAUUGGGCGUAAAGCGCGCGUAGGCGGCUGCCUAAGCGGAACCUCUAACCCCGGGGCUCAACCUCGGGCCGGGUUCCGAACUGGGCGGCUCGAGUGCGGUAGAGGAGAGCGGAAUUCCCGGUGUAGCGGUGGAAUGCGCAGAUAUCAGGAGGAACACCGGUGGCGAAGGCGGCCUGCUGGACUGCAACUGACGUUGAGGCCCGAAAGCGUGGGGAGCAAACAGGAUUAGAUACCCCAGUA